This 377-nucleotide ribosomal RNA is filed under the name uncultured cyanobacterium. RNAcentral's name for it is "bacterial SSU rRNA". It matches the Rfam family "Bacterial small subunit ribosomal RNA", at positions 376 to 770 of the family's 1533-position model. The record is from RNAcentral. Lineage: Bacteria; Bacillati; Cyanobacteriota.
CGAAAGCCUGACGGAGCAAGACCGCGUGCGGGAUGACGGCCUAAUGGUUGUAAACCGCUUUUCUCUGGGAAGAUGAUGACGGUACCAGAGGAAUCAGCCUCGGCUAACUCCGUGCCAGCAGCCGCGGUAAUACGGAGGAGGCAAGCGUUAUCCGGAAUUAUUGGGCGUAAAGCGUCCGUAGGUGGUUAUUCAAGUCUGCUGUCAAAGCGUGGGGCUUAACUCCAUAGAGGCAGUGGAAACUGGAUGACUUGAGUGCGGUAGGGGUCGAGGGAAUUCCCAGUGUAGCGGUGAAAUGCGUAGAUAUCGGGAAGAACACCAGUGGCGAAGGCGCUCUACUGGGCCGCGACUGACGCUGAGGGACGAAAGCUAGGGGAGCG